This 429-nucleotide ribosomal RNA is filed under the name Acidobacteriota bacterium. RNAcentral's name for it is "Acidobacteria bacterium partial 16S ribosomal RNA". It matches the Rfam family "Bacterial small subunit ribosomal RNA", at positions 355 to 776 of the family's 1533-position model. Lineage: Bacteria; Pseudomonadati; Acidobacteriota. The record is from RNAcentral.
UGGGGAAUUUUGGACAAUGGGGGAAACCCUGAUCCAGCCAUCCCGCGUGUGCGAUGAAGGCCUUCGGGUUGUAAAGCACUUUUGGCAGGAAAGAAACGUCAUGGGUUAAUACCCCGUGAAACUGACGGUACCUGCAGAAUAAGCACCGGCUAACUACGUGCCAGCAGCCGCGGUAAUACGUAGGGUGCAAGCGUUAAUCGGAAUUACUGGGCGUAAAGCGUGCGCAGGCGGUUAGGAAAGAAAGAUGUGAAAUCCCAGAGCUCAACUUUGGAACUGCAUUUUUAACUACCGUGCUAGAGUGUGUCAGAGGGAGGUGUAAUUCCGCGUGUAGCAGUGAAAUGCGUAGAUAUGCGGAGGAACACCGCUGGCGAAGGCAGCCUCCUGGGAUAACACUGACGCUCAUGCACGAAAGCGUGGGGAGCAAACAGG